GCUCAGAUUGAACGCUGGCGGCAGGCCUAACACAUGCAAGUCGAACGGUAACAGGAAGCAGCUUGCUUCUUGCUGACGAGUGGCGGACGGGUGAGUAAUGUCUGGGAAACUGCCUGAUGGAGGGGGAUAACUACUGGAAACGGUAGCUAAUACCGCAUAACGUCGCAAGACCAAAGAGGGGGACCUUCGGGCCUCUUGCCAUCGGAUGUGCCCAGAUGGGAUUAGCUUGUGGUGGGGUAACGGCUCACCAGGCGACGAUCCCUAGCUGGUCUGAGAGGAUGACCAGCCACACUGGAACUGAGACACGGUCCAGACUCCUACGGGAGGCAGCAGUGGGGAAUAUUGCACAAUGGGCGCAAGCCUGAUGCAGCCAUGCCGCGUGUAUGAAGAAGGCCUUCGGGUUGUAAAGUACUUUCAGCGGGGAGGAAGGGAGUAAAGUUAAUACCUUUGCUCAUUGACGUUACCCGCAGAAGAAGCACCGGCUAACUCCGUGCCAGCAGCCGCGGUAAUACGGAGGGUGCAAGCGUUAAUCGGAAUUACUGGGCGUAAAGCGCACGCAGGCGGUUUGUUAAGUCAGAUGUGAAAUCCCCGGGCUCAACCUGGGAACUGCAUCUGAUACUGGCAAGCUUGAGUCUCGUAGAGGGGGGUAGAAUUCCAGGUGUAGCGGUGAAAUGCGUAGAGAUCUGGAGGAAUACCGGUGGCGAAGGCGGCCCCCUGACGAAGAC
This 725-nucleotide ribosomal RNA is filed under the name Shigella sp. RNAcentral's name for it is "bacterial SSU rRNA". It matches the Rfam family "Bacterial small subunit ribosomal RNA", at positions 22 to 740 of the family's 1533-position model. The record is from RNAcentral. Lineage: Bacteria; Pseudomonadati; Pseudomonadota; Gammaproteobacteria; Enterobacterales; Enterobacteriaceae.